ACUAUUCUCCGAAUCCCUUCCAGACUUCUUUCGGCCACAGACGACUCUACUCUGAACUUCUUCCUAACUUCGUCAAUAUCCGAGCUUCUCCGACAGUGGAAUUUCUACAGUAACCAGACUUCAUCCAAGUUUCUAUGGUGAUCGACCACCUUUCGGACUCCAUCCGAGCUCCUACGAGAACUGGAUUUCAGUCGAACUCCUACAGUGGAUGUAUCCCAG
Molecule: long non-coding RNA, 219 nt
Filed under: Elaeis guineensis (African oil palm)
Lineage: Eukaryota; Viridiplantae; Streptophyta; Magnoliopsida; Arecales; Arecaceae
Description: long non-coding RNA (EGUI_LNC060692)
Source: RNAcentral